This 1283-nucleotide long non-coding RNA is filed under the name Homo sapiens (human). RNAcentral describes it as "HSALNT0041383". Lineage: Eukaryota; Metazoa; Chordata; Mammalia; Primates; Hominidae. The record is from RNAcentral.
UUUAGUGGAGAAAUAGGAGAAUUAUGUUAAUUUUAUCUUCCUGCAAGCAGAAGCCAAUAGAAUAAUUUUUAUAUGUAUUAAACCUGUAUCCCAAAGCAGGUAUGAAACAAAAAUACUGAAUGGAUUAGAAAAGACAAUUUGGAUGAAAUGUGGAUGCAGUUCCUUGCAAAGGAAAAUGUGAAAUAUUGUCCUUGUCUAUUAUAUUUUUUCUGAAUAUAUGAAACAAAUUUUGCUUUUCUCUUAUUUUUGGUCAUAGAGCCUACAGAGCCCUUAAUAUGUACAGAAAACAUUUAAUAUGGGUUUGAGUUAUAAGGUAAAGAGAUGUAAAAUUAAAGCCCUGGCUGGGUGCAGUAGCUCAUGCCUCUAAUCCUAGCACUUUGGGAGGCUGAGGCAGGAGGAUCACCUGUGGUCAGGAGUUCAAGUCUGGCCUGGCUAACAUGGUGAAACCCCAUCUCUACUAAAAAUACAAAAAUUAACCAGGUGUGAUGGCACACGCUUGUAAUCCCAGCUACUUGGGAGCCUGAGGCAGAAGAAUAGCUUGAACUCGGUAGGCAGAGGUUGCAGUGAGCAGAGAUCGUGCCAUUGCACUCCAGCUUGGGUGACAGAGUGAGACUCAGUCUCAAAAAAAAUAAAUUAAUUAAAUUAAAGCCCUAGUAAUUUGUAAAUACAAAGAUUGUAUAUUUUUCAUCUUAUAAACUGUCUUAAUCCAUUUUUAUUCCUAUAAAAGAAUAUCUAAGACUGGGUAAUUUAGGAAGAAUAGGGGUUUGUUUAGCCCGUAGUUCUAUAUGCUGAGAAGAUCAAGGUCAAGGAUCUGUCUUCUGGUGAGGGCAUUCAUGCUGCAUUACAACAUAGCAGAGAAGGUCAAAAAAAAAAAAAAAAAAGGAGGAGACAUGCAAAGAGGAGGAAAAGCUGAGGAGCAUUCUGGCUUUAUAACAACCCAUUUUUGAGGGAACUAAUCCAUUCCUAGGCGAACAAAUCCAGUCUUAGGAAAGUGAGAACUCACUACUACAAGAACAGCACCAAGCCAUUUAUGAGGAACCUACCCCCAUAACCCAAACACCACCCACUAGGUCCCACCUUUAAACGCUGACACAUCGGGGAUCAAAUUUCAACAUGAAUUUUGGUGGAGAAAAACAAUUAAUAUUCAAACCACAGCAUAAACUUACAACCUAAUAACCAUAAUAAACAAUAAAUUUAUUUCCUAAUAAUCGUAUUUUCUUACAACGUUAGGAAUAACUGACAAAUGGCAACUAGCUAUGAAUCUACGUAGAGAGUUGUCAUUU